GCGUAUCCAAUCAGCGCGCGUCCUCACGGGACACCGCCAAGCUCAGUUUGACUGCUGUGUGGAGCAGCUGAGGCGACUCGCGUAGACGCUCUGAUUCUGGCGCGAUAAACACAGAUUUCGUCCAUCUAACUGUACAUAUCGACGCGAUAUGCCGCGGCUGUGAGCGGGCUGGUUACGCUGAGCUGCAGUCGCAGACCGAAGACUGACCACACGCCGCGGUCAGCGCACUGACAUCAUGGCGAAAGAUGCUGGACUCAAAGAAACCAGCGGAGAGAUAAAGGUGUUUGUCAACCAGAAUCUGAGUCCAGGGAAACGUGAGUACACACUA
Sinocyclocheilus grahami is the source of this 328-nucleotide long non-coding RNA. RefSeq lists it as uncharacterized. The record is from RefSeq and is a predicted model, not a curated record. NCBI's taxonomy places the organism in Eukaryota, Metazoa, Chordata, Actinopteri, Cypriniformes, Cyprinidae. The transcript has 3 exons.